AUACGGAGGGUGCAAGCGUUGUCCGGAUUUAUUGGGUUUAAAGGGUACGUAGGCGGCCUUUUAAGUCAGUGGUGAAAGCCAACAGCUCAACUGUUGAACUGCCAUUGAUACUGAAAGGCUUGAGUACUGUUAAGGUAGGCGGAAUUGAUGGUGUAGCGGUGAAAUGCAUAGAUACCAUCAGGAACACCGAUUGCGAAGGCAGCUUACUGGGCAGAUACUGACGCUAAUGUACGAAAGCGUGGGGAGCGAACAGGAUUAGAAACCCCAGUAGUCC
Molecule: ribosomal RNA, 274 nt
Filed under: uncultured bacterium
Lineage: Bacteria
Description: partial 16S ribosomal RNA
Rfam family: Bacterial small subunit ribosomal RNA
Source: RNAcentral